Molecule: long non-coding RNA, 2017 nt
Filed under: Fragaria vesca (wild strawberry)
Lineage: Eukaryota; Viridiplantae; Streptophyta; Magnoliopsida; Rosales; Rosaceae
Description: long non-coding RNA (FVES_LNC000661)
Source: RNAcentral
UGGAGAGGAAACGGGUUGUCGACACGGAUCGACGUUGGGUUGCCGAGAGAGGACAAGGAGAGGCGGAGAAGAGGAAUCUGUUUGGUAACGACCAGGGUUGCUUUGAUUCCCAGCCAUGACGGUUAGGGUUUGAGUGCAGGAGGCAGAGGAUGGCCCGUGGUGUCGACGUCGAGCACCAUUGAUGAAGGUCUAGGCCAUAGCGGCUAGGGUUUGGGAGAGAAGGUUAGAGGCGUAAGGCCAUUAGAAGAUUAGAUUGUAGAUCCUUCAAUUCCCAUAGAUAGUUUUUUAUAUCGAGAUAAUUCAGAGAAAGUAAUCGGGAAAUUACUAUAUUUCAUUCAUAGAUUGACAACACCACCCUAUCAUAAUGUAUUCCUAAUAUACAUUGACUAAGGCAAAUAUACAUAAUUGUAUUUUCCUUUAAACAUUUCUCACCGUGUAGUGUCAACCAUAUAUGAAAAGUGACAAUUUUUUUGAAAUGUAAAAUAUUUCAUUGAUAAACUUAGGCUAGAAUGACAUCAUUACAUUAUAGUCAAUUAGCUCACUUUAGCAGAGAAUUAAACUAGAUACAAUUCAAGAUAUCAAAAAAACAUAAAAACUGAAACCAAAGCCCUCAAUUGAGGUAUUCCAAGCAUCAUGAUUCCAUCUAGCUGCAGCUAGCUUGCUCAGUCUGCUAUGCUAUCCAAACACUGCGACUUAAGCCACAAUCAGUUUGAAAUCAGGCCUAAUAACCCAAUUCCAAAUUUGACUUUUGAUGGGCUUGAGGCUAGACCCAGGCCCAAAAACCCGAGUCCAUUCCUAAACCCUAGCAGAUUUGCAUCAUCGCUUGCCGACAAUCUCCGCUCGCAUUGAUGGCGACCAAAAUGGUUUUGCCACCGGCGUCCCUGCCCCUGCAGGCAUCAUCCUCAGAUCUUCUAGUUGAAGACGCGCAACUCUCUUGGAUUCAAGCUCAGACUCAAUCUCACUAACCGGAGUCUAAAGCCAUAACCAAAUUGGGAGAUUUCGAUCCUUGCUCGCAGCCAAGUUUUGCGGCUAGUGAUCUUCGACGUUAGAAGGUAACCUUCCACCUUGUAUCCAUGUUCGGUGGCAUUUCGUCCUCCACCUCCAUGGUUAACUGACCACAAAAGAUUAAGAUUUGCCUCCAUAGGAGGGCUUGAUGCCGAGAAGGAACAGCUUAAACUCGGUGUCAAGCGUUGUUGGAGACCUAGGCCAAGGUGGGGAGGGUUUAGGAAGGAUCUGGUGCGGCGGCUGAGGGAAAUGGAUAGCAUCACCCGAACCGGCCGUUGGACUUGCAUCUACAUCAUCUUUCGGCAUAAAAAUGAUGGAGGACUUGUUGACCAGAUCUGAUCUUAGAUUGCUGCAAGAAGACAACGUGGUUAGGAGAAGAGAACUUCACUUGAUACCGGCGUCGAUCGUCGUGAUUGAGAAACCAAGCCAUGAUGGCUAGGGUUUUAGAAGAGGAGCCGUGCUCCUCUCAUGACGGCUUUUUGAAAAGUAACAAUUUAUUCUAAGUUAAUGGGGUUUAAUUAGAAGUUGUUCCGUAGAACAAUUUCAUUGAGCCUAACAAUUUGUUUAAGAAUUUAUUUGCUUAGAACACUAACCGAUACAUGGAAGCUCUGCAUCACAAUCUGAAUUGAAUGUCCGAGCACCACUGUUAGCCAAUCUAACAAGUCUAUGAACCAUCCCAACAUGGCCUUUGAUCUUUUCAACUAGCCAUCAAAACCGGUACAUAAUUGAUCCCAGCCUUCGAGCCUUAAACAUACCCAUAAACAAACCAUAUGUAAAGCCAUGUACAUCAUAUAGAGGUUAAGCCAUAGGUCAACACAACACCAAGGCACAUGCAACAACAUUCCUCUAGUGAUUUUGAGAGAACAACCACACUAUUCUUUUCAACCAUGCUUACAAAACACAUAAUUUUAAGAGAUUAUGAGAGACAAAUGAACAUCAACAACGUGUAUCCAAUUUUAAAAAUAAAUAGCAAUUAACAAUUAUGAAUUAUGAAUUUGUUUUCAACUAACAG